GGGAAGACGAGAAGCUGGCCGCCUCCUUGCUGGACGGGAAAUUCCCGCGGAGCACCUCCAUGACGGACACGGUCCGGGAAGGCCACGGCAUCCCCCCUCCCCCACAGANAGGUGGACACCAGGAGCUCCAGCGACCACCACCUGGAGACCACGAGCACCAUCUCCACGGUCUCCAGCAUGUCCACGCUGUCCUCGGAGAGCGGCGAGCCCACCGACACCUACACGUCCUUCGCCGACGGCCAAACUUUUCUACUCGAGAAGCCACCAGUGCCUCCAAAGCCCAAACUCAAGUCCCAGCUCAGCAAGGGGCCGGUUACUUUCAGGGACCCACUUUUGAAGCAGUCUUCGGACAGCGAGCUCAUCUCCCAGCACCACGCGGCCACGCUGGCGGCCACCAGCGCGGCCCGGCCACGCUACCUCUUUCAGAGAAGGUCCAAGCUAUGGGGGGACCCCAUGGAGAGCAGGCCCGGCCACGGGGCCGAAGAGGACAAACCGACUGUGAUCAGCGAGCUGAGCUCCCGCCUGCAGCAGCUCAACAAGGACACGCGCUCCUUGGGCGAGGAACCGGCCGGCUCCGCCCUGGAUCCCGGCAAGAAGUCGCCGGUGGUGGCCGCACGCCGGGCGUCCACGGAAGGACCUUUGAGCCGAGGGACUGGGAAAGAGCCCAAGGAAUUCUGAGGUGGGAACGUCAGGUCCCGGUUCGGGCCGGUGACGAUCCCAGGGACACCGGGAUGGUGACAAUGCCAAGGGGACAAUUCCCUUCAUCCGCGGUGGCCCUCGGUGGCCGCGCCCGGGAGCAGUUUCCUCGUGUUUCACCCAAAUCCCUGGAAUUUUCGAGGUUGGAAAACCCCUCUGGUCCCACCGAGUCCGACCGUUCCCAGCGUUGCCCCGUGUUCCCGUCCACGCGGCUUUUCAUCCCGCCGGGAACGGGGAUUCCGCCCCUUCCCUUGGGCAUCCCCUUCCCACGCUUCCUCAGCUUUUCGGGAAGGAAUUUUCCCAGAAUCCAGCUUCACCUCGAGCUGAUUCCCUCUCAUUCCCGGGGAGCAGAGCCCACCCUGCCCCGGCUGGAAUUCCUGACCGGGAUUCCUGGAGCGGCGGCGGCGGGAUCCUGGGAAAAUCCGGGAUCCUGGAAAACGCCGCCAAGCCGCGGGAGAGGCGCGGGAUGUGCCGGGAGCCGCGCACGAGGCCGAGCGCGUUGCGGGUGUGACAUCCGUGUCCCCAAUAAAGCUGACGGUGACCGUGACGUGUGUUUGUGUCAUUCCCACGGCCAUUCCCAGGAUUUUGGGAUCCGCGUUCCGCUCCCGGAGCCGCCUCUGGCUCCGCAUUCGCUGCUCCAGCUCUCCGGGCGAUAUUCCCAUGAAAUUCCUGCCACGUUCCCUGUGUCCCGUGCCCAGGAUUGGCCACUCAUCCACAAUCCCGAUUGGAUCCAUCUUCCCAACCUCUGGGAAUCACCGGGAGCGUUCCUGAACAUCCCAAAAAACCCUGCCCCGGCUGCUUUGUCUUUUCCAGCCCACUGGAAUGGUCUGAUCGCGGUUUAA
Molecule: long non-coding RNA, 1538 nt
Filed under: Cyanistes caeruleus (blue tit)
Lineage: Eukaryota; Metazoa; Chordata; Aves; Passeriformes; Paridae
Description: lncRNA (ENSCCEG00000010323.1)
Source: RNAcentral